CUACAAUCGGCCGCUGUUGGUGCUCGCGGUCCGUGGUUCGCACGGCCGCAGUUCAACGGGAAGCAGGAGGGUGCGCGGACCGCCCCGGUCUCCACCUAACCUGCGCUGCCCCCGCAACGGUAAGCGGAUGGCGCCCCGAGCUAUCGGGGUGCCGGCUCCGGCCUCACACCGCCACUGGCGACGCAUGCCUGCAUGCGCUGCCGGGAAGGCGAGGCGAUCACGGAGCGACCUCCGCCAGCCCGGAUACCGGCCAACGAGGCGACGUCGCC
This 269-nucleotide non-coding RNA is filed under the name Burkholderiales bacterium. The record is from RNAcentral. Lineage: Bacteria; Pseudomonadati; Pseudomonadota; Betaproteobacteria; Burkholderiales.